GUGUCAGCAGCCGCGGUAAUACGGAGGGGGUUAGCGUUGUUCGGAAUUACUGGGCGUAAAGCGCACGUAGGCGGAUCAGAAAGUUGGGGGUGAAAUCCCGGGGCUCAACCCCGGAACUGCCUCCAAAACUCCUGGUCUUGAGUUCGAGAGAGGUGAGUGGAAUUGCGAGUGUAGAGGUGAAAUUCGUAGAUAUUCGCAGGAACACCAGUGGCGAAGGCGGCUCACUGGCUCGAUACUGACGCUGAGGUGCGAAAGUGUGGGGAGCAAACAGGAUUAGAUACCCUGGUAGUCCACACCGUAAACGAUGAAUGCCAGUCGUCGGCAAGCAUGCUUGUCGGUGACACACCUAACGGAUUAAGCAUUCCGCCUGGGGAGUACGGCCGCAAGGUUAAAACUCAAAUGAAUUGACGGGG
RNAcentral lists this ribosomal RNA (413 nucleotides) under uncultured prokaryote. RNAcentral's name for it is "bacterial SSU rRNA". It matches the Rfam family "Bacterial small subunit ribosomal RNA", at positions 505 to 918 of the family's 1533-position model. The record is from RNAcentral.